GUUUCCCAUUCUACCCUGAACAUGCCCAAUCUUGCCUGAUUUCAGAAGUACAGUACUUGGGUUAGUACUUGGGUGGGAGACUACCUGAGAAUACCAAGGAUGUGAAGCU
RNAcentral lists this ribosomal RNA (109 nucleotides) under Pogona vitticeps (central bearded dragon). Lineage: Eukaryota; Metazoa; Chordata; Lepidosauria; Squamata; Agamidae. The record is from RNAcentral.